This 132-nucleotide long non-coding RNA is filed under the name Rhinopithecus roxellana (golden snub-nosed monkey). RNAcentral's name for it is "lncRNA (ENSRROG00000045977.1)". Lineage: Eukaryota; Metazoa; Chordata; Mammalia; Primates; Cercopithecidae. The record is from RNAcentral.
GGACCAGAGAUCCCCCAACUCAGGAGACGUGAAGCUGGCAGCUGGGCCGCUGGCCUAGAAAUGGCCUCAAAUGGAAGCUGCGACCGGAUCCUGGUGGAGGUUUUGGAGCUAGGCUAGAGAUGAGGAGUCCAG